UACGUAGGGGGCAAGCGUUGUCCGGAUUUAUUGGGCGUAAAGAGCGUGUAGGCGGCCUGGAAGGUCAGCUGUGAAAACUCGAGGCUCAACCUCGAGACGUCGGUUGAAACCACCUGGCUAGAGUCCGGAAGAGGAGAGUGGAAUUCCCGGUGUAGCGGUGAAAUGCGUAGAGAUCGGAAGGAACACCAGUGGCGAAGGCGACUGUCUGGCCAGAUACUGACGCUGAGGCGCGAAAGCGAGGGGAGCAAACAGG
RNAcentral lists this ribosomal RNA (253 nucleotides) under uncultured bacterium. Its description in RNAcentral is "partial 16S ribosomal RNA". It matches the Rfam family "Bacterial small subunit ribosomal RNA", at positions 524 to 776 of the family's 1533-position model. The record is from RNAcentral.